Molecule: long non-coding RNA, 3486 nt
Organism: Orcinus orca (killer whale)
Lineage: Eukaryota; Metazoa; Chordata; Mammalia; Artiodactyla; Delphinidae
Exons: 2
Source: RefSeq, a predicted model, not a curated record
UGCAGAAAAAGCAAGCCUUCCAUUCGGCCUCAUUCUCAAGCCCCCUCCGAGUACAUACCUGUGAACGCACCUGACUACACACCAGCCCCUUCACCUCCUUGUUUAUACUUUAUUUUUUACAUGAAAUGAACAGAGGGCUAAAUAUUCUAGCAACGUUCCCAGGCAGUCCUUGGGAGUCUUUUUUGUUUUUAUUUUUUUUAAUUUAUUUAUUUUUUGCGGUACGCAGGCCUCUCACUGCUGUGGCCUCUCCCGUUGCGGAGCACAGACUGCGGACGCGCAGGCUCAGCGGCCAUGGCUCAAGGGCCCAGCCGCUGCGCGGCACGUGGGAUCCUCGCGGACCGGGGCACGACCCCGCGUCCCCUGCAUCGGCAGGCGGACUCUCAACCACUGCACCACCAGGGAAGCCCAAUAGGUGUUUUUAAUCAUUAGAUUAUUUAACCACUAGGGGGCACACUCAUAUAGCUGCGAACUUGUCUGACUCAAAAUCCUGAAACAACUUUUUUAAAGGUAUACAUUUCUUUCAUUUCUAUAAAGGUAGCAUAAGGUUUUUUUUUUUUUUCUUUUUAUGGAUCCUGACAUGGAUUCUGGGACUACCAGGGGCUUGCUGGGGUCACGCAGCUGACCAUGACAAGUCAGUUUAAACUUCAUUCCUAAAAAAGGAAUUUGCAAGGGAGAGACACGCUUUUCAACUUUUCACCUUCAAUUGGAUCAAGAAGUUCACCCCCACCUGCCUUGUGUAUCUUAAAGAAUAUAAUUUAUAGAUGCCUCUCAAACCGGUAAUAACUUUGGUGGGAUAGGAUGUAUGAUGUAAAUGUUCCGAUAGGAAGAGCAGAAAGCAAAAGUUACAGAAGAACAGACAGAGGGAAUAAUCGAAGUGCGUGACUUAAUAUCUGGAUUUUUCUGAGUAAUAAUAUAUUGAUGACAAUGUAUUUGACUCAUUCAUCCCGUCGCUGGAGAGCGUUAAUUGAGCACUUAGUAGUAGUCCAGCCGCCUCUGGAUGGAGCAAUGGACAUUUUCCAUUUCCCUGCUGGCGGGUGUCAGCCCGCUGAAUCUCUCCUGGAAUGUGAAACGUGGCCGUCUUGGACAAGUUUCGGUCCUUAUCAAAAGCAUCUCUGAAAUUUUAGGUGGGGCUGGACAAGCACAGACCUGCUCCUAGACUUUUCAUGGUUAAGGUAAGAGCUUUAUUUUAGCUGAGCACUGAGAGACGGAACAGAACCAGCAUUGCAAAGAGCCGGGAGUGGAGGAAAAGACGAGGAACUGGGGUUUAUGGCCAAAGCGGUGUGGCAUCCAGCAACCCUGUGCUGGUCUUUGUAAAAUGGGAGAAUGAUGGUGGAGGUCCCGAAGAUUACGGUAAGCAGCUUGCUUAUAGGAUGUUCUAAGUGGGAAGGGAAGACCUUGGUGGGUUAUAAGGAAAGCACGGCUUUCCUGACACUCAUUCUAGCUGCCAUGUGGGGAGAUGCAGAGAAUGGGUGGUGGGAAGUAAUACCCAGUAAAUCGGGGACUGUAGGGGACAUGCUGGCAACAGUAGGCUACGUGGGCGAGGAUGGUAGACCUGCCCGGAGUAACGGCACAAGAAAGGCCAAAGAACGCCAUGACUGAGGAAGCCAACUGGUGUGGGUGGAGGCAGUCUCCCAUAUAUUUGAGACCCAUAUUGGCAAUGGGAGUAACCAGACUUGCUGGUCAUUGAUUGUGGGCUGGGGUGCAGAAGAACGGACAGGAUACUUAUCACUGAUGACUUCUUGUUUUCUUGUUUGAGCCACUGGAGGGAUGCUGGCGCCAUUUGCAAAGAUGGUGCUCGAGGGAAAAACCUACACACGGCAGGCUCUGAGUUCGAGAUGCUCUCACCAAGAGACCCAAGUGGAAAUGCCAAGGGAAGGCUGGAUGUGAGGACCCCGUUGGUCUGGAGAUGAGAAAGAAGCUGUUGGGGAGACUGGUUCCAGCCACCCCUGUUGGUUUCCUUGAUCAUGUCCUGUGCUAGUUCAAACUGGCUCUUGCCUUCUGAGGACAUGAAUUCAACAAGUUCACUCUUUAUUUCUCCUCUGAGGCCCCAAGAACGCCAACCGAUGCUCCUUUUAAGAACAGAGUAAAUUCAACGUCAUUUGCCGUCUGUGCCGAUAAAGUUAUUACCUAACUUUAGGUACUUCAAAGAACUUGCCAUGAUAUUCAUGAUAAAGAGGUCCUGUUAGUGCUACCAGAAAAAAACCCUUGCGAAAGAGGCAAGUAAAUACAAUUCAGAACAGACAACGACCUCCAAACCCAACUUCAUCGCACGGAAUUGAGAUUCCAGAGGAGUAGAGGCAGAGAACCAUUUCUUAUGCGUGAUUCCAGCGCUCAAGAGGAUGAAAGAAUUCUUAUUUACACGACUUAGGACCACAUCUGUUUUGAUGUCAUUAUUUUAGCUCAUGAAUUCAAGGCAGCUUGGAAGCCGAUCUUUCACCUGUUUUAUAUAUUCAUUCAACAAACACUUAGGAGAGUGUGCUAAGGACUUGAACAGUUCCUACCUAAUGAACGCUGGGAGAAGUGAGUUUCCAUAGGAUGCAAGGUGGAUGGACAUAGGGUUACACCCUCCUGCUGUCAAGUGGGUUUUGGACUAAACAAGAGUGGGUCUUGAGGAGAUGCCAAUGAGAAAGGCAUUGUAAUCAGGAAAGUAAGAGAUGAUAAAACCUUCAAUCUGGCCCCUGGCACCAGAGCUGGAAGGGUUUAGGGAAAGUGCCGAUGAAGCCCAGACAUACACAGUAUCACUUCAAAACGGCCACACAGCCUCUUCCUCUUUUCCAGGAGCGGUUUCUGCAUCAAGGGACCAAGGAGACGGGUGUAGCUAAAAACUUAAAAGGCAGGAGUUCCAAGAAAGUGUUUGUAUGAAUUUCCUGGGGCGGCUGUAACAAAAAUGGCCACAAACCGUGAGCUUAAAACCACAGGCAUCCAUCCUCCCCCAUCCUGGGGACCAGACGUCUGAGGUCAAGGUGUCCCAGGGCCACGCUCCCUCCAGAGGCUCCAGGGGAGGGUCCUUCCCGCCUCUUCCAGCUUCUGGGGGCUCCAGGCAUCCCUGGGCUUGUGGCUGCAUCCCUCCCAUCUCUGCCUCCGUCUUCCCGGGGCUUCUCCUCUGUAUCUGUGUCUCUCCUCUUCUGUCUCUUAGAAGGACCCUGUCAUUGGAGGUAGGGCCACCCUCCUCUAGAUGACCUCAUUUCAAAAUCCUUCACUUUAUUCCAUCUGCAAAAAUCUUUUUUCCAAAUAAAGUCACUUUCAAAAGUUCUGGGCUUAGAACCUGGACGUAUUUUUUUAGGAGUCACCAUUCAAACCACUACAGUUUCCAUAUUAGGUAUUUGCCUGGCGGCCAGUGGAUUAAGGUGGGUUUCUGUGUGUUUUUAAAGGUUGAAAAGGCAGCAAUAAUAAUAAUGUUAUUCCUGACAUACCUCUUGGUAUGUUAGCACAAUAAAAUUUCCCUAGAUUUGCUUAAUGAAUCUUUACAAUAAACAGCAAGGAAUC